This 229-nucleotide ribosomal RNA is filed under the name uncultured bacterium. RNAcentral's name for it is "partial 16S ribosomal RNA". It matches the Rfam family "Bacterial small subunit ribosomal RNA", at positions 568 to 796 of the family's 1533-position model. The record is from RNAcentral.
UGCGUAGGCGGACUAAUAAGUCAGUGGUGAAAUCUUUCGGCUCAACCGAGAAACUGCCAUUGAUACUGUUAGUCUUGAGUUCGGUUGAGGUAGGCGGAAUGUGUAAUGUAGCGGUGAAAUGCUUAGAUAUUACACAGAAUACCAAUUGCGUAGGCAGCUUACUAGACCGAAACUGACGCUGAGGCACGAAAGCGUGGGUAGCGAACAGGAUUAGAUACCCUGGUAGUCC